RNAcentral lists this ribosomal RNA (463 nucleotides) under uncultured bacterium. RNAcentral's name for it is "bacterial SSU rRNA". It matches the Rfam family "Bacterial small subunit ribosomal RNA", at positions 338 to 795 of the family's 1533-position model. The record is from RNAcentral.
CCUACGGGCCGCACCAGUGGGGAAUAUUGCACAAUGGGCGCAAGCCUGAUGCAGCCAUGCCGCGUGUGAAGAAGGCCUUCGGGUUGUAAAGCACUUUCAGCGGGGAGGAAGGCGUUAAGGUUAAUAACCUUGGCGAUUGACGUUACCCGCAGAAAAAGCACCGGCUAACUCCGUGCCAGCAGCCGCGGUAAUACGGAGGGUGCAAGCGUUAAUCGGAAUUACUGGGCGUAAAGCGCACGCAGGCGGUCUGUCAAGUCGGAUGUGAAAUCCCCGGGCUCAACCUGGGAACUGCAUUCGAAACUGGCAGGCUAGAGUCUUGUAGAGGGGGGUAGAAUUCCAGGUGUAGCGGUGAAAUGCGUAGAGAUCUGGAGGAGUACCGGUGGCGAAGGCGGCCCCCUGGACAAAGACUGACGCUCAGGUGCGAAAGCGUGGGGAGCAAACAGGAUUAGAUACCCGAGUAGUC